GGCUCAGAUUGAACGCUGGCGGCAGGCCUAACACAUGCAAGUCGAACGGUAGCACAGAGAGCUUGCUCUCGGGUGACGAGUGGCGGACGGGUGAGUAAUGCCUGGGAAACUGCCCGAUGGAGGGGGAUAACUACUGGAAACGGUAGCUAAUACCGCAUAACGUCUUCGGACCAAAGUGGGGGACCUUCGGGCCUCACACCAUCGGAUGUGCCCAGGUGGGAUUAGCUAGUAGGUGGGGUAAUGGCUCACCUAGGCGACGAUCCCUAGCUGGUCUGAGAGGAUGACCAGCCACACUGGAACUGAGACACGGUCCAGACUCCUACGGGAGGCAGCAGUGGGGAAUAUUGCACAAUGGGCGCAAGCCUGAUGCAGCCAUGCCGCGUGUAUGAAGAAGGCCUUCGGGUUGUAAAGUACUUUCAGUGGGGAGGAAGGCGAUGGAGUUAAUAGCUUCGUCGAUUGACGUUACCCGCAGAAGAAGCACCGGCUAACUCCGUGCCAGCAGCCGCGGUAAUACGGAGGGUGCAAGCGUUAAUCGGAAUUACUGGGCGUAAAGCGCACGCAGGCGGUCUGUCAAGUCGGAUGUGAAAUCCCCGGGCUCAACCUGGGAACUGCAUUCGAAACUGGCAGACUAGAGUCUUGUAGAGGGGGGUAGAAUUCCAGGUGUAGCGGUGAAAUGCGUAGAGAUCUGGAGGAAUACCGGUGGCGAAGGCGGCCCCCUGGACAAAGACUGACG
Molecule: ribosomal RNA, 733 nt
Filed under: Erwinia sp. 110518_136_C_C8
Lineage: Bacteria; Pseudomonadati; Pseudomonadota; Gammaproteobacteria; Enterobacterales; Erwiniaceae
Description: bacterial SSU rRNA
Rfam family: Bacterial small subunit ribosomal RNA
Source: RNAcentral